This 322-nucleotide ribosomal RNA is filed under the name uncultured eukaryote. Its description in RNAcentral is "partial 18S ribosomal RNA". It matches the Rfam family "Eukaryotic small subunit ribosomal RNA", at positions 1470 to 1796 of the family's 1831-position model. The record is from RNAcentral.
CCCUUAGAUGUUCUGGGCCGCACGCGUGCUACACUGAGUGGAUCAGCGGGUCAGGUUGCGCGAAAGUGUUUCCUAAUCUUGAAAUCCGCUCGUGAUGGGGAUUGACGGUUGCAAUUUUCCGUCAUGAACGAGGAAUACCUUGUAAGCGCGGGUCAUCAUCCCGCGCUGAAUACGUCCCUGCCCUUUGUACACACCGCCCGUCGCUCCUACCGAUUGAGUGGUCCGGUGAGGCUUUGGGAUCUGAGCAAAGAGAGCGUUUCGCUCGUUUUGCCCGGAAAACUCAGUCGAACCUUAUCAUCUAGAGGAAGGAGAAGUCGUAACA